Molecule: ribosomal RNA, 668 nt
Filed under: Helvella corium
Lineage: Eukaryota; Fungi; Ascomycota; Pezizomycetes; Pezizales; Helvellaceae
Description: eukaryotic LSU rRNA
Rfam family: Eukaryotic large subunit ribosomal RNA
Source: RNAcentral
AAUCUGGGGUCGACGACCCCCGAGUUGUAAUUUGGAGAGGCAUCCUCCGGGAGGAGCGCUGGCCCAGGUUCCUUGGAACAGGACGUCACAGAGGGUGAGAAUCCCGUGCCAGGCUGGCUGCCUCCUCCGGCGUGGAGGGCCUUCGACGAGUCGAGUUGUUUGGGAAUGCAGCUCCAAGUGGGUGGUAGAUUUCAUCUAAAGCUAAAUACCGGCGGGAGACCGAUAGCGCACAAGUAGAGUGAUCGAAAGAUGAAAAGCACUUUGAAAAUAGAGUCAAAAAGUACGUGAAAUUGUUGGAAGGGAAGCGCUUGAGGCCAGACUCGGACCCGAGCAAACAUCGAGCCCCUCGGGGCCGUGCAAUUGCUCGGUGCCGGGCCAGCAUCGGUUGGCGUGGCGGGACAAAGGUGCGGGGAAUGUGGCUCCCCUCGGGGUGUGUUAUCAGGCCCGCGCCCCAUGCCGUCGACGCCGACCGUGGACCGCGCCCUACGGGCUAGGAUGCUGGCUUAAUGGCCUUCAGCGACCCGUCUUGAAACACGGACCAAGGAGUCUAACAUCUAUGCGAGUGUUUGGGCGUCAAACCCUUGCGCGUAAUGAAAGUGAGCGGAGGUGGGAACCCCUCACCGGGCGCACCAUCGACCGAUCCUGAUGUCUUCGGAUGGAUUUGAGUA